GAGGGUAGAGCUCAGUGGUAGAGCGUGUGCUUAGCAUGCACGAGGUCCUGGGUUCAAUUUCCAGUCCCUCCA
This 72-nucleotide transfer RNA is filed under the name Camelus bactrianus (Bactrian camel). It matches the Rfam family "tRNA". Rfam says of the family: Transfer RNA (tRNA) molecules are approximately 80 nucleotides in length. Their secondary structure includes four short double-helical elements and three loops (D, anti-codon, and T loops). RNAcentral also lists the same sequence under 2 other names. Lineage: Eukaryota; Metazoa; Chordata; Mammalia; Artiodactyla; Camelidae. The record is from Rfam by way of RNAcentral.